This 301-nucleotide ribosomal RNA is filed under the name uncultured bacterium. RNAcentral's name for it is "partial 16S ribosomal RNA". It matches the Rfam family "Bacterial small subunit ribosomal RNA", at positions 509 to 807 of the family's 1533-position model. The record is from RNAcentral.
CAGUAGCCGCGGUAAUACGGAGGGAGCUAGCGUUGUUCGGAAUUACUGGGCGUAAAGCGCGCGUAGGCGGUUACUCAAGCCAGAGGUGAAAGCCCGGGGCUCAACCCCGGAACUGCCUUUGAAACUAGGUGACUAGAAUCUUGGAGAGGUCAGUGGAAUCCCGAGUGUAGAGGUGAAAUUCGUAGAUAUUCGGAAGAACACCAGUGGCGAAGGCGACUGACUGGACAAGUAUUGACGCUGAGGUGCGAAAGCGUGGGGAGCAAACAGGAUUAGAUACCCCCGUAGUCCCUGUCUCUUAUAC